Molecule: ribosomal RNA, 254 nt
Filed under: uncultured bacterium
Lineage: Bacteria
Description: partial 16S ribosomal RNA
Rfam family: Bacterial small subunit ribosomal RNA
Source: RNAcentral
UACGGGGGGGGCAAGCGUUGUUCGGAAUUACUAGGCGUAAAGGGCUCGUAGGCGGCCAACUAAGUCAGACGUGAAAUCCCUCGGCUUAACCGGGGAACUGCGUCUGAUACUGGAUGGCUUGAGUUUGGGAGAGGGAUGCGGAAUUCCAGGUGUAGCGGUGAAAUGCGUAGAUAUCUGGAGGAACACCGGUGGCGAAGGCGGCAUCCUGGACCAACACUGACGCUGAGUGAGCGAAAGCCAGGGGAGCAAACGGG